This is an RNA transcript of Micropterus salmoides (largemouth bass), 1005 nucleotides long. It is a transcript of the gene named cleavage and polyadenylation specificity factor subunit 3-like, with no coding region annotated. NCBI's taxonomy places the organism in Eukaryota, Metazoa, Chordata, Actinopteri, Centrarchiformes, Centrarchidae. The transcript is spliced from 6 exons. The record is from RefSeq and is a predicted model, not a curated record.
UACCACACGGAGGUAUUUCAGCAGGAGCCGGAAGUGAGUUAAAGUUGUGGCAACGCGCGGAAUAGCUGAAGUUCUGAGUUAAUUUAGUAUUUGUGGAAGAUUUGUGAGUUUAUUCAGGUAAACAUGGCGUCUAAACGUAAAUGUGACGCCACGGUUCCUGCGGAGGAAAGUGACCAACUGCUCAUCCGCCCGCUAGGAGCAGGACAGGAGGUGGGACGGUCCUGCAUCAUCCUGGAGUUCAAGGGACCAAAGAUUAUGCUGGACUGCGGGAUCCAUCCUGGUCUGGACGGGAUGGACGCUCUGCCGUACAUCGACCUGAUCGACCCGGCUGAAAUUGACCUGCUGCUCAUCAGCCACUUCCACCUGGAUCACUGUGGAGCUCUGCCCUGGUUCCUGCAGAAGACCAGCUUUAAAGGACGCACCUUCAUGACUCACGCCACCAAGGCCAUCUACCGCUGGCUGCUGUCCGACUACGUCAAAGUCAGCGGGCUCUUCAGUCUCCACCGACCCUGGGUCUCCCCGACUGUAACACACAUUUCACCCAGACUGUUGACGAAAAGGGGGGGUACAUGACCUCAGUACCACUACAAGACCAUGGGGGACGACUGAGACCUGUAGCUUAUUUUUCAUCCAAACUGGACUCUGUUGCAGCCAAACUGCCUGAGAGCUGUGGCGGGAAGAAAUAUUGUGUUGUCAUGGUAGAUAUGUUCUCUAAAGGGGUAGAGGCAUUUUCAACAUCUAAACAGGAUGCAGCAGCAGUUGCAAAAGCUUUGAUAAGCCAGAUCAUCGCUGAGCGAUCCCAGCUAAGAUCUCCAGUGAUAAUGGCACACCUUUCAUUAGCGCAGCACUGAAGAGUGUAGGGGAGGAUAUGGGGAUUGAUCUGAGGCAACAUUGUGCUCAUCAUCCAGCUAGCGGAGGUGCAGUUGAAUAAGAAAAUGGCACAUUGAAAAACAAGCUUGUUAAAUGCUGUGAAGAAACAGGUUUAACAUGGACAAAAGCUUUGCC